GAAGGUUAUGUGCUAGUGAUAAGAUCAGUGUCUCAGUUACUAUUAUAUGUGAAUCACAUAGGAUAUAAGGUAUGAAUGACAGGUGUUAUCUGGCCUCGAUCUCAUUUUUCCAAACAGAAGUUAUUUUAUUAAUCAGGUCUAUAUCAUAGACACUUUUUAAAUUGCUGGUAAUACAAUUGGUAUAAAGAAAGAUUGUAAGUUGUAAAUAUCCGACCAUCUAACAAGAUUCACCUAAACUCAUUUUCAUGGAUUCAUGCGUGAGUCAAGGUAUUCUUUAUUAGCAAAAAAAUAAGAGUAUAUGUUAAGAUUUAUAUUCAGACAAC
This 323-nucleotide long non-coding RNA is filed under the name Mytilus galloprovincialis (Mediterranean mussel). Lineage: Eukaryota; Metazoa; Mollusca; Bivalvia; Mytilida; Mytilidae. The record is from RNAcentral.